GAUGAAGAACGCAGCGAAAUGCGAUAAGUAAUGUGAAUUGCAGAAUUCAGUGAAUCAUCGAAUCUUUGAACGCACAUUGCGCCCGUCAGUAUUCUGGCGGGCAUGCCUGUUCGAGCGUCAUUACGCCCCUCAAGUCCCCUGUGGACGUGGUGUUGGGGAUCGGCGAGGCUGGUUUUCCAGCACAGCCGUCCCUUAAAUUAAUUGGCGGUCUCGCCGUGGCCCUCCUCUGCGCAGUAGUAAAACACUCGCAACAGGAGCCCGGCGCGGUCCACUGCCGUAAAACCCCCCAACUUUUUAUAGUUGACCUCGAAUCAGGUAGGACUACCCGCUGAACUUAAGCAUAUCAAUAAGCGGAGGA
Molecule: unclassified non-coding RNA, 358 nt
Filed under: soil metagenome
Description: partial contains 5.8S ribosomal RNA, internal transcribed spacer 2, and large subunit ribosomal RNA
Rfam family: 5.8S ribosomal RNA (bases 1-120)
Source: RNAcentral